UACGGGGGGGGCAAGCGUUGUUCGGAAUUACUGGGCGUAAAGGGCUCGUAGGUGGCCAACUAAGUCGGACGUGAAAUCCCUCGGCUUAACCGGGGAACUGCGUCCGAUACUGGUUGGCUUGAGUUUGGGAGAGGGAUGCGGAAUUCCAGGUGUAGCGGUGAAAUGCGUAGAUAUCGGAAGGAACAUCAGUGGCGAAAGCGACUUCCUGGACCAGUACCGACGUUCAGGCACGAAAGCGUGGGGAGCAAACAGG
Molecule: ribosomal RNA, 253 nt
Filed under: uncultured bacterium
Lineage: Bacteria
Description: partial 16S ribosomal RNA
Rfam family: Bacterial small subunit ribosomal RNA
Source: RNAcentral